Molecule: ribosomal RNA, 614 nt
Filed under: Halogeometricum sp. GoC3
Lineage: Archaea; Methanobacteriati; Methanobacteriota; Halobacteria; Halobacteriales; Haloferacaceae
Description: bacterial SSU rRNA
Rfam family: Archaeal small subunit ribosomal RNA
Source: RNAcentral
GGGACUCCGAGUGCGAGGGCAUAUAGUCCUCGCUUUUGAGAACCGUAAGGCGGUUCUCGAAUAAGAGCUGGGCAAGACCGGUGCCAGCCGCCGCGGUAAUACCGGCAGCUCAAGUGAUGGCCAAUCUUAUUGGGCCUAAAGCGUCCGUAGCUGGCCGUGAAAGUUCGUCGGGAAAUCCAUCCGCUCAACGGAUGGGCGUCCGGCGAAAACUUCACGGCUUGGGACCGGAAGGCUCGAGGGGUACGUCCGGGGUAGGAGUGAAAUCCCGUAAUCCUGGACGGACCGCCGAUGGCGAAAGCACCUCGAGAAGACGGAUCCGACAGUGAGGGACGAAAGCUAGGGUCUCGAACCGGAUUAGAUACCCGGGUAGUCCUAGCCGUAAACAAUGUUCACUAGGUGUGGCACAGGCUACGAGCCUGUGCUGUGCCGUAGGGAAGCCGAGAAGUGAACCGCCUGGGAAGUACGUCCGCAAGGAUGAAACUUAAAGGAAUUGGCGGGGGAGCACUACAACCGGAGGAGCCUGCGGUUUAAUUGGACUCAACGCCGGACAUCUCACCAGCUCCGACUACAGUAAUGACGGUCAGGUUGAUGACCUCGCCACGAGCUGUAGAGAG